Molecule: ribosomal RNA, 875 nt
Filed under: uncultured bacterium
Lineage: Bacteria
Description: bacterial SSU rRNA
Rfam family: Bacterial small subunit ribosomal RNA
Source: RNAcentral
AUCACCUUACUGAGACACGGCCCAGACUCCUACGGGAGGCAGCAGUGGGGAAUAUUGCACAAUGGGCGAAAGCCUGAUGCAGCGACGCCGCGUGAGGGAUGACGGCCUUCGGGUUGUAAACCUCUUUCAGUAGGGAAGAAGCGAAAGUGACGGUACCUGCAGAAGAAGCGCCGGCUAACUACGUGCCAGCAGCCGCGGUAAUACGUAGGGCGCAAGCGUUAUCCGGAUUUAUUGGGCGUAAAGAGCUCGUAGGCGGUUUGUCGCGUCUGCCGUGAAAGUCCGAGGCUCAACCUCGGAUCUGCGGUGGGUACGGGCAGACUAGAGUGAUGUAGGGGAGACUGGAAUUCCUGGUGUAGCGGUGAAAUGCGCAGAUAUCAGGAGGAACACCGAUGGCGAAGGCAGGUCUCUGGGCAUCUACUGACGCUGAGGAGCGAAAGCAUGGGGAGCGAACAGGAUUAGAUACCCUGGUAGUCCAUGCCGUAAACGUUGGGCACUAGGUGUGGGGAACAUUCCACGUUUUCCGCGCCGUAGCUAACGCAUUAAGUGCCCCGCCUGGGGAGUACGGCCGCAAGGCUAAAACUCAAAGGAAUUGACGGGGGCCCGCACAAGCGGCGGAGCAUGCGGAUUAAUUCGAUGCAACGCGAAGAACCUUACCAAGGCUUGACAUGUUCCAGACCGCCUCAGAGAUGGGGUUUCCCUUCGGGGCUGGUUCACAGGUGGUGCAUGGUUGUCGUCAGCUCGUGUCGUGAGAUGUUGGGUUAAGUCCCGCAACGAGCGCAACCCUCGUUCCAUGUUGCCAGCACGUAAAGGUGGGGACUCAUGGAACUGCCGGGGUCAACUCGGAGGAGGUGGGGACGACGAAGGGCGAAUUCGUU